UCCAAAACUGUUUCUCAGCUCUGCUCUC
RNAcentral lists this non-coding RNA (28 nucleotides) under Rattus norvegicus (Norway rat). The record is from RNAcentral. Lineage: Eukaryota; Metazoa; Chordata; Mammalia; Rodentia; Muridae.